GGGGAUUUAGUUCAGUGGUAGAGCGCUUGCCUAGGAAGCGCAAGGCCCUGGGUUCGAUCCCCAGCUCCA
This 69-nucleotide transfer RNA is filed under the name Rattus norvegicus (Norway rat). It matches the Rfam family "tRNA". From Rfam's summary of the family: Transfer RNA (tRNA) molecules are approximately 80 nucleotides in length. Their secondary structure includes four short double-helical elements and three loops (D, anti-codon, and T loops). The record is from Rfam by way of RNAcentral. Lineage: Eukaryota; Metazoa; Chordata; Mammalia; Rodentia; Muridae.